RNAcentral lists this ribosomal RNA (245 nucleotides) under uncultured Trabulsiella sp. Its description in RNAcentral is "partial 16S ribosomal RNA". It matches the Rfam family "Bacterial small subunit ribosomal RNA", at positions 524 to 768 of the family's 1533-position model. Lineage: Bacteria; Pseudomonadati; Pseudomonadota; Gammaproteobacteria; Enterobacterales; Enterobacteriaceae. The record is from RNAcentral.
UACGGAGGGGGCUAGCGUUGUUCGGAAUUACUGGGCGUAAAGCGCACGUAGGCGGCUCGUUAAGUCGGAUGUGAAAUCCCCGGGCUCAACCCGGGAAGUGCAUCUGAUACUGUUUGGCUUGAGUAUGGAAGAGGGUAGUGGAAUUCCAGGUGUAGUGGUGAAAUACGUAGAUAUCUGGAGGAAUACCGGUGGCGAAGGCGGCUACCUGGUCCUAUACUGACGCUGAGAUACGAAAGCAUGGGUAG